ACACCUCAACUCUUCAUGGUUUUCCAUGAUGAGCUUGGACUUUGGGGGUCUUGCUGGCCUGCGGUCGGCUCCUCUCAAAUGAAUCAGCUUACCAGUGUUUGGUGGGCAUCACAGGUGUGAUAACUAUCUGCGCUUGUGGUUUUCUACCAAGUAACCUUCAGCAGUGGAGGUUCACUGGAGCUCACAGACGUCUCUCCUCGGCGAGGACAACUUUUGAAC
RNAcentral lists this unclassified non-coding RNA (219 nucleotides) under uncultured Thelephoraceae. Its description in RNAcentral is "sequence contains ITS2". The record is from RNAcentral. Lineage: Eukaryota; Fungi; Basidiomycota; Agaricomycetes; Thelephorales; Thelephoraceae.